UUGUGGGUGGUAGGAAUGACUCUCCCUAUUUUACAGAUGCUGAAACUGAGGCACUGAGACCUGAAAGCAGGAGCAUAAACAUUCUAGAGCAAGUCACUGAUAGAACCGGGAAGCCUACAGUCUUAAAAUCUGACUGGACUGAAUUCAAUCGAGUUAGGAGCCAUCUGCUUCCCUGAUGACUCAGUGGUAAAGAAUCUGCCUGCAAUACAAAAGACUCAGGAGACGUGGGUUUGAUCCCUGGGUCAGCAAGAUCCCUUGGAUGAGGGCACGGCCACCCACUCCAGUAUUCUUGCCUGAAGAAUCCCAUGGAUAGAGGAACCCAGUGGACUACAGUCCAUGGGGUUGCAAAGAGUCAACUUAUCACGAACACACGUACUGAGGACACAGAUGUUAAUGAGAGCUCUUGUCAGCCAGGAUCCUGGAAAUGAAUAAGAGGGAAAUUUAUUGGAGAACUUUAUUUGGACUGGAGGACCCAUUUGUGCAAGUGCAUUCCUUAUUAAUAGGUCUUUGUUCUUGCUGUAACCCUCAGCCAGGCUGUCUCUGGCAGAAGAAUACACUUCAUCAAAAGUGUCUGCAGGUUGUCAAACUCAGGGAGGUUUGGGGACCCUCUGAGGCUGUCAUGGUCAACAAGAAGAUUUUCUGUCGGGCUUUGCCAUCACUCACCCCGAG
Molecule: long non-coding RNA, 669 nt
Filed under: Bos mutus (wild yak)
Lineage: Eukaryota; Metazoa; Chordata; Mammalia; Artiodactyla; Bovidae
Description: lncRNA (ENSBMUG00000017382.1)
Source: RNAcentral